AUUGAACGCUGGCGGCAGGCUUAACACAUGCAAGUCGAGCGGGGGGAGGUAGCUUGCUACCGGACCUAGCGGCGGACGGGUGAGUAAUGCUUAGGAAUCUGCCUAUUAGUGGGGGACAACAUCUCGAAAGGGAUGCUAAUACCGCAUACGUCCUACGGGAGAAAGCAGGGGAUCUUCGGACCUUGCGCUAAUAGAUGAGCCUAAGUCGGAUUAGCUAGUUGGUGGGGUAAAGGCCUACCAAGGCGACGAUCUGUAGCGGGUCUGAGAGGAUGAUCCGCCACACUGGGACUGAGACACGGCCCAGACUCCUACGGGAGGCAGCAGUGGGGAAUAUUGGACAAUGGGGGGAACCCUGAUCCAGCCAUGCCGCGUGUGUGAAGAAGGCCUUAUGGUUGUAAAGCACUUUAAGCGAGGAGGAGGCUACUUUAGUUAAUACCUAGAGAUAGUGGACGUUACUCGCAGAAUAAGCACCGGCUGACUCUGUGCCAGCAGCCGCGGUAA
This 501-nucleotide ribosomal RNA is filed under the name uncultured bacterium. Its description in RNAcentral is "partial 16S ribosomal RNA". It matches the Rfam family "Bacterial small subunit ribosomal RNA", at positions 30 to 523 of the family's 1533-position model. The record is from RNAcentral.